RNAcentral lists this ribosomal RNA (253 nucleotides) under uncultured bacterium. Its description in RNAcentral is "partial 16S ribosomal RNA". It matches the Rfam family "Bacterial small subunit ribosomal RNA", at positions 524 to 776 of the family's 1533-position model. The record is from RNAcentral.
UACAGAGGUCCCAAGCGUUGUUCGGAUUCACUGGGCGUAAAGGGUGCGCAGGCGGCGCGGUAAGUCGGGUGUGAAAUCUUGGAGCUUAACUCCGAAACUGCAUUCGAUACUGCCGUGCUUGAGGACUGGAGAGGAGACUGGAAUUUACGGUGUAGCGGUGAAAUGCGUAGAUAUCGUAAGGAAGACCAGUGGCGAAGGCGGGUCUCUGGACAGUUCCUGACGCUGAGGCACGAAGGCCAGGGGAGCAAACGGG